RNAcentral lists this non-coding RNA (185 nucleotides) under human gut metagenome. RNAcentral's name for it is "Lysine riboswitch". It matches the Rfam family "Lysine riboswitch aptamer". From Rfam's summary of the family: Riboswitches are metabolite binding domains within certain messenger RNAs that serve as precision sensors for their corresponding targets. Allosteric rearrangement of mRNA structure is mediated by ligand binding, and this results in modulation of gene expression. The record is from RNAcentral.
CAGAUAGAGGUGCGGUAAAGAUAAGUAGUUCCGAACAGGCAGCCCUGCCGAUCAUGUCGGAAGCAAAAGGCAAUACCGCCGAAGGAUACGGCUUAACGGGCGGGCUGUAAUUCUGGUUGCAUAUUUAAGAGAUAUGUAAUUGUCAUCAUACUUAUGCCUUAGCCGCAUAUGAUGGAGAGCUAUCG